UACGGGGGGGGCAAGCGUUGUUCGGAAUUACUGGGCGUAAAGGGCGCGUAGGUGGCCAACUAAGUCAGACGUGAAAUCCCUCAGCUUAACUGGGGAACUGCGUCUGAUACUGGAUGGCUUGAGUUUGGGAGAGGGAUGCGGAAUUCCAGGUGUAGCGGUGAAAUGCGUAGAUAUCUGGAGGAACACCGGUGGCGAAGGCGGCAUCCUGGACCAACACUGACACUGAGGAGCGAAAGCCAGGGGAGCAAACGAG
This 253-nucleotide ribosomal RNA is filed under the name uncultured bacterium. Its description in RNAcentral is "partial 16S ribosomal RNA". It matches the Rfam family "Bacterial small subunit ribosomal RNA", at positions 524 to 776 of the family's 1533-position model. The record is from RNAcentral.